This 253-nucleotide ribosomal RNA is filed under the name uncultured bacterium. RNAcentral describes it as "partial 16S ribosomal RNA". It matches the Rfam family "Bacterial small subunit ribosomal RNA", at positions 524 to 776 of the family's 1533-position model. The record is from RNAcentral.
UACGGGGGGGGCAAGCGUUGUUCGGAAUUACUGGGCGUAAAGGGCUCGUAGGCGGCCAACUAAGUCAGACGUGAAAUCCCUCAGCUUAACUGGGGAACUGCGUCUGAUACUGGAUGGCUUGGAUUUGGGAGAGGAAUGCGGAAUUCCAGGUGUAGCGGUGAAAUGCGUAGAUAUCUGGAGGAACACCGGUGGCGAAGGCGGCAUUCUGGACCAAUAUUGACGCUGAGGAGCGAAAGCCAGGGGAGCAAACGGG